AUGCCCACUUCAGCAGCACAUAUACUAAAACUGGAACGAUACAGAGAUUAGCAUGGCCCCUGUGCAAGGGUGACACACAAAUUCAUGAAGCAUUCUAUAUUUU
Molecule: small nuclear RNA, 103 nt
Filed under: Pan troglodytes (chimpanzee)
Lineage: Eukaryota; Metazoa; Chordata; Mammalia; Primates; Hominidae
Source: RNAcentral